AUUGAACGCUGGCGGCAGGCCUAACACAUGCAAGUCGAGCGGAUGAAGGGAGCUUGCUCCUGGAUUCAGCGGCGGACGGGUGAGUAAUGCCUAGGAAUCUGCCUGGUAGUGGGGGAUAACGUCCGGAAACGGGCGCUAAUACCGCAUACGUCCUGAGGGAGAAAGUGGGGGAUCUUCGGACCUCACGCUAUCAGAUGAGCCUAGGUCGGAUUAGCUAGUUGGUGGGGUAAAGGCCUACCAAGGCGACGAUCCGUAACUGGUCUGAGAGGAUGAUCAGUCACACUAGAACUAGGACACGGUCCAGACUCCUACGGGGGGCAGCAGUGGGGAAUAUUGGACCAUGGGCGAAAGCCUGAUCCAGCCAUGCCGCGUGUGUGAAGAAGGUCUUCGGAUUGUAAAGCACUUUAAGUUGGGAGGAAGGGCAGUAAGUUAAUACCUUGCUGUUUUGACGUUACCAACAGAAUAAGCACCGGCUAACUACGUG
RNAcentral lists this ribosomal RNA (484 nucleotides) under uncultured bacterium. Its description in RNAcentral is "partial 16S ribosomal RNA". It matches the Rfam family "Bacterial small subunit ribosomal RNA", at positions 30 to 507 of the family's 1533-position model. The record is from RNAcentral.